ACAGCAGUAGCCACGGUAAUACGGAGGGGGCUAGCGUUGUUCGGAAUUACUGGGCGUAAAGCGUGCGCAGGCGGUUCGUUAAGACAGAUGUGAAAUCCCCGGGCUUAACCUGGGAACUGCAUCCGUGACUGGCGAGCUAGAGUAUGGCAGAGGGGGGUAGAAUUCCACGUGUAGCAGUGAAAUGCGUAGAGAUGUGGAGGAAUACCGAUGGCGAAGGCAGCCCCCUGGGCCAAUACUGACGCUCAUGCACGAAAGCGUGGGGAGCAAACAGGAUUAGAUACCCCAGUAGUCCCUGUCUCUUAUAC
RNAcentral lists this ribosomal RNA (305 nucleotides) under uncultured bacterium. Its description in RNAcentral is "partial 16S ribosomal RNA". It matches the Rfam family "Bacterial small subunit ribosomal RNA", at positions 505 to 807 of the family's 1533-position model. The record is from RNAcentral.